AGUGAACGCUGGCGGUAGGCCUAACACAUGCAAGUCGAACGGCAGCACAGUAAGAGCUUGCUCUUACGGGUGGCGAGUGGCGGACGGGUGAGGAAUACAUCGGAACCUACUUUUUAGUGGGGCAUAACGUAGGGAAACUUACGCUACUACCGCAUACGACCUACGGGUGAAAGCAGGGGAUCUUCGGACCUUGCGCGAUUGAAUGAGCCGAUGUCGGAUUAGCUAGUUGGCGGGGUAAAGGCCCACCAAGGCGACGAUCCGUAGCUGGUCUGAGAGGAUGAUCAGCCACACUGGAACUGAGACACGGUCCAGACUCCUACGGGAGGCAGCAGUGGGGAAUAUUGGACAAUGGGCGCAAGCCUGAUCCAGCCAUACCGCGUGGGUGAAGAAGGCCUUCGGGUUGUAAAGCCCUUUUGUUGGGAAAGAAAAGCAGCAGGUUAAUACCCCGCGGUACUGACGGUACCCAAAGAAUAAGCACCGGCUAACUUCGUG
RNAcentral lists this ribosomal RNA (492 nucleotides) under uncultured bacterium. RNAcentral describes it as "partial 16S ribosomal RNA". It matches the Rfam family "Bacterial small subunit ribosomal RNA", at positions 29 to 507 of the family's 1533-position model. The record is from RNAcentral.